AUUCACUAGCGGGUGAAUUAACACUCUAAGUAUUGGUGAUAAGUAGGUCUGUAUGUUAUCUUCAAGGUCUUCGUCGUGUAUCUCCCGUUCUCUUGGUUUUCUCCGCACUCCGUGCGGGGUUCUCCAUGGGGUCUUCCAAGGGUGCGUGGAUUUCCCCCGGUGAUUGGCUGCAACGUAUAGAUGACGUCAUUUACAACCAAUCACCGGGGCAGCGGCACGUCAACAUGCCACUGAUCGUUAGGCCUGUCCAAGCCUAAGCUUGCACAGCCUAACUCAAUAAUAGCAGGAUUAACUGAAUUUUGAAGUGAAGGCUCUGCAAGUAUCUGAUGUCAGGUAUUUUCAGUUGAAACUAAACAUUAAAUUUUACCUUCAACUUUCCAACAAGUGUCAAAGGCUAUAGGAAUUGCAAUUUGUGUUUUCGAUAUCGACCACUCCAAAAAUGAAUUUGUUCGCCAAAAAUGUAAGCGUGCGUUUCAAGCUGUCGACCAGGAAAAGAAUAUUAAAAAGGAAUGUCCGGUGCAGUUAUAGAGAACUACUAGGACAAUUGCAAAGUUACUGUAGCAUAGUUAAGAAGAUUGCUGACCUGCGAAACUUAAAGUGCCAGUACAUAAUAAUUAUUACUGUAGUUUCAGAAGUUUUCUUCGAAAGUCAGAGAAAUUCUUUUGCAAGUGAAUGUACAGUGGAAUCUACAGUGAGUAGAAGCAGGGACUCGCUGGUUUCAUAUGAACCAAUUAAAAGCCAGCAAGUUGAGCAGAGUACCCAGUCCACAAAUACAGUGUAACAGCAUGAAUGAUCUCAAUAGCGCCCUCUAUGAUAGUGUCAGGAAUGCAGUUGAAGCAUUGAAUAGUAACAGUAAAGAGAAUUGCUAUGAAGGAGACAAUUGAGGCAGAUUUUAUGCUACCAAAUCUUCCUAGUAGCCUUCAGCAAGACAGAAGCCUUAGUGAGUCAUAUAGGCUUAGCGAUGAUGCCACAGACACACCCGUUCCGAAGCAGUAAGUAAGGCCCACCUGACGAUUGACCUUGAUCUUGAUGGUGAACCUACUCAAACUGAGGUUGAAAGAAUUGAGAUGUGGGAUAAAUCUGUGAAACAAACAAGCCAGGAAAACGUGCAAGCAGUGCGUCUCGCUAUUCAACAUCAAUGAUGAAAGACUACGACCAGCAUUGGAAGAGCUGCAGUCCUGUGAUGAUCCAAAUGGGCAACAGUUGGCUAGCGUCUCUUUUAUAGCACAUAGUGGUUCAAGGAUUUGCAAGUUUAAGAAUCAUGAUGAUUUCUACUUGUAUGUCAAUAUGAAAGAAAUUGUCUUCGAUAGAGAUUUUGGUAAUACUGGAAACCAGAAGAACAAUUAGAGACCGCGCAUAGUGGUUCCAGGAUUUCCAAGUUCAAACAUCUUAUUGAUUUCUACUCGUAUGUUAAUAUGAAAGAAAUGGUCUUCAAUGGAGAAUUUGGUUACUGGAAACCAAAAAGAACAAUUGGAGACAGCAAAAUAUACCACAAUCUAUUUCAGAAGUUUUGCACGAAAGACAGAAAAAUUCAUUUAUAUACGAAAGCACAGUAAAGUCUAUGGUGAAUAGAAGCAGGGCCUCGCUGGUUUCAGAUGAACCAAUUAAAAGCCAGCAAGUUGAGCAGAGUACCCAGUCUACAUAUGACAGCAUGAAUGAUGAGUUUAAUCUCAAUAGCGCCCUCUAUGAUAGUCAGGAAUGCAGUUGAAACAUUGAAUAGUAACAGUAUAGAGGUUACUUCUAACGAAUCUGUCAAUGAUGUUGAAGAAACAAAAUGGAACAGAUGUAUUUAAUUCCCAAAAUUUAUCAUAUUCAUUUUAAUUAUUUAAUUUGUUGAAUAAUGCAUUUGGGAGACAGAGGCCUGUAGCCAGUGUGUGCUGGCAGGAUGCGUGGCCUGAUCUGAAGAUUCUCUCCACAGCCACACAAUGCAUGGUGACAGUUCUAAAGCAUAGGCAAGGCCCACCUGAGUAUUGACCUUCGACGUGAUGGUGAACUUACUCAAACUGAGGUUGAAAGAGAUGUGGGAUAGGUCUGUGAAACAAAAUUACAAGCCAUGGAAACGUGAGAACAGCUGCAUGGACUCCAUAGUCUUACACUCUAUGAAGAUAGGCUCACCGGUCUAUAGUUAUAGGCGGAUCUCAACGAACGCUCUUCUUAAAGAUUAGAACGACCUAAGCAAGACAACAACAACAGUAAAGAGGAAUUGAACCCAGAACCCUGUGAUAGCAAAGAAAGUAUCUUUCUACCAAGAUUUUCUGCUUCACUAAUUAUAGCCAUUAGCGGUUGCAGAAAUCCAAGAUGGCCGCCAAAUAUAUAUUUUACUUAAGCUUACUUCUAGGGUGUGUCCAUCAGUGAUGCUGAAGAAACAAACAGUGGUUUGGGAGACAAGACCUGUAGCCAUUUUGUGAUGACAGGAUGUGUGGCCUGUAGAUCUGAAGAUUCUCCCCACAGCCAUGUAAUGUACAGUGACAGAUCGUCAUUUAGUUCCAUCUCCUGCUUCAUCAGUGUACUCCUUGAAUGAUGCCUGUUCAUCGUACGAGCAAAGUUGUUUACACCAAGCUCCCCAACACAACAUCAAUAAUCAACGAGUGACAACACCUCCAUCCUAUCAAGGCCAAGUCUGUCCACCAUCACCUUUCAAAUAUGACAGUAAAGUAAAUGUUUUUGGUCAAUAAUUUCUUCUUUUUUUUUUCUAAUUUUUACGAAACUUUUUACAUACUUUGUUAAAAGCGUGGCUCAUCAUUCCCUAUCUAGAGAAUUAUAACAUUUAUUAUGUUUAAUUUAAUAUUUUCAUAUUUAUAAUAAAACCCAAUUUAAUAUUAAGCUACAGUUCUUUAACAGAGCUCAGAUAUUUAAGUUUUUAAGUUUAUUUAUUUGAUCUAAAUACCGUCAAACCUCAAUUUGAAGCCCUGGGCUUCUUUCGAGAUGGGUUUCUUUUCGAGGCUACUUUUGAAAACUAAAGAGGGGGCUUCAAUUUGAGAUGGGCUUCUUCUCAAGAUUAAGCCCAUUGGGCUUCUACUCGAGGUUUUGUGGUAUAUCAAUACUAAUUGUUUUCAAU
RNAcentral lists this long non-coding RNA (3058 nucleotides) under Anneissia japonica. RNAcentral describes it as "uncharacterized LOC117100149, transcript variant X6". Lineage: Eukaryota; Metazoa; Echinodermata; Crinoidea; Comatulida; Comatulidae. The record is from RNAcentral.